CCUACGGGAGGCAGCAGUGAGGAAUAUUGGACAAUGGUCGAAAGACUGAUCCAGCCAUGCCGCGUGCAGGAUGAAUGCCCUAUGGGUUGUAAACUGCUUUUAUACGGGAAGAACACCACCCACGUGUGGGUGACUGACGGUACCGUAAGAAUAAGGACCGGCUAACUCCGUGCCAGCAGCCGCGGUAAUACGGAGGGUCCAAGCGUUAUCCGGAAUCAUUGGGUUUAAAGGGUCCGUAGGCGGGCUAUUAAGUCAGGGGUGAAAGUUUGCAGCUCAACUGUAAAAUUGCCUUUGAUACUGGCAGUCUUGAGUUAUAGUGAAGUGGUUAGAAUAUGUGGUGUAGCGGUGAAAUGCAUAGAUAUCACAUAGAAUACCAAUUGCGAAGGCAGAUCACUAACUAUAUACUGACGCUGAUGGACGAAUGCGUGGGGAGCGAACGGGAUUAGAUACCCCGGUAGUCCACGCCGUAAACGAUGGAUACUAGCUGUUGGAUUUUUUCAGUGGCUAAGCGAAAGUGAUAAGUAUCCCACCUGGGGAGUACGUUCGCAAGAAUGAAACUCAAAGGAAUUGACGGA
RNAcentral lists this ribosomal RNA (575 nucleotides) under uncultured bacterium. RNAcentral describes it as "bacterial SSU rRNA". It matches the Rfam family "Bacterial small subunit ribosomal RNA", at positions 338 to 917 of the family's 1533-position model. The record is from RNAcentral.